RNAcentral lists this ribosomal RNA (497 nucleotides) under uncultured bacterium. RNAcentral's name for it is "partial 16S ribosomal RNA". It matches the Rfam family "Bacterial small subunit ribosomal RNA", at positions 28 to 507 of the family's 1533-position model. The record is from RNAcentral.
GAUGAACGCUGGCGGCGUGCCUAAUACAUGCAAGUCGAGCGAACGGACGAGAAGCGUGCUUCUCUGAUGUUAGCGGCGGACGGGUGAGUAACACGUGGAUAACCUACCUACAAGACGGGGAUAACUUCGUGAAACCGGAGCUAAUACCGGAUAAUAUUUUGAACCGCAGGGUUCAAAAGUGAAAGACGGUCUUGCUGUCACUUAGAGAUGGAUCCGCGCUGCAUUAGCUAGUUGGUAAGGUAACGGCUUACCAAGGCAACGAUGCAUAGCCGACCUGAGAGGGUGAUCGGCCACACUGGAACUGAGACACGGUCCAGACUCCUACGGGAGGCAGCAGUAGGGAAUCUUCCGCAAUGGGCGCAAGCCUGACGGAGCAACGCCGCGUGAGUGAUGAAGGUCUUCGGAUCGUAAAGCUCUGUUAUUGGGGAAGAACAUAUGUGUGAGUAACUGUGCAUAUCUUGACGGUACCUAAUCAGAAAGCCCCGGCUAACUACGUG